This 482-nucleotide ribosomal RNA is filed under the name uncultured bacterium. Its description in RNAcentral is "partial 16S ribosomal RNA". It matches the Rfam family "Bacterial small subunit ribosomal RNA", at positions 30 to 507 of the family's 1533-position model. The record is from RNAcentral.
AUUGAACGCUGGCGGCAUGCCUUACACAUGCAAGUCGAACGGUAACAGGUCUUCGGCUGCUGCCGAGUGGCGAACGGGUGAGUAAUACAUCGGAACGUGCCCGAUCGUGGGGGAUAACGAGGCGAAAGCUUUGCUAAUACCGCAUACGAUCUACGGAUGAAAGCGGGGGAUCUUCGGACCUCGCGCGGACGGAGCGGCCGAUGGCAGAUUAGGUAGUUGGUGGGAUAAAAGCUUACCAAGCCGACGAUCUGUAGCUGGUCUGAGAGGAUGAUCAGCCACACUGGGACUGAGACACGGCCCAGACUCCUACGGGAGGCAGCAGUGGGGAAUUUUGGACAAUGGGCGAAAGCCUGAUCCAGCCAUGCCGCGUGCAGGAUGAAGGCCUUCGGGUUGUAAACUGCUUUUGUACGGAACGAAAAGCCACUUUCUAAUAAAGAGGGGUCAUGACGGUACCGUAAGAAUAAGCACCGGCUAACUACGUG